UAGGGAAUAUUGCAAAAUGGGCGAAAGCCCGAUGCAGCAACGCCGCGUGGGCGAUGAAGGCCUUCGGGUCGUAAAGCCCUUUUUGAGGGGAUGAGGAAGGACAGUACCCUCAGAAUAAGCCUCGGCUAACUACGCGCCAGCAGCCGCGGUAAAACGUAGGAGGCGAGCGUUAUCCGGAUUUACUGGGCGGAAAGCGCGUGCAGGCGGAUUGGAGAGUUGGAUGUGAAAGCUCCCGGCUUAACUGGGAGAGGUCGUUCAAUACUUCCAGUCUUGAGUGCAGUAGAGGGAAGUGGAAUUCCGGGUGUAGUGGUGAAAUGCGUAGAUAUCCGGAGGAACACCAGUGGCGAAAGCGGCUUCCUGGACUGUAACUGACGCUCAGACGCGAAAGCUAGGGUAGCAAACG
Molecule: ribosomal RNA, 403 nt
Filed under: uncultured bacterium
Lineage: Bacteria
Description: bacterial SSU rRNA
Rfam family: Bacterial small subunit ribosomal RNA
Source: RNAcentral